RNAcentral lists this long non-coding RNA (470 nucleotides) under Homo sapiens (human). Its description in RNAcentral is "HSALNT0051082". The record is from RNAcentral. Lineage: Eukaryota; Metazoa; Chordata; Mammalia; Primates; Hominidae.
AUUAAUUUUCUUUUUUUUCCAAUAGGUUUUUGGGGAACAGGUGGUGUUUGGUUACAAGAAUACAUUCUUCAGUGGUGAUUUCUGAGAUUUUGGUGCACCCAUUAUCUGAGCAGGUGGUCAAGGUUGACAUGAUGUGAUGAGGACAGUGCUUAACUCUGUGGUCUCCCUCCCGCAAACCCACAACCCCAGUCGAACCGUGAGAGACACCAGACAAACCCCAACUGAAGGACUUUCUAUAACAUACCCAACCAGUCCUCUGCAAAACUGUCAAGGUCGUCAAGAACCAAGAAAGCCUAAGAAACUCACAACCAAGAGGAGUCCAAGGCGACAGGAUGGCUAAGUGAAACGCGGCACCCUGGAUGGGAUCCUGGGACAGAAACAGGACGCGAGGGAAAUACUGGGGACAUCUGAAUGAAACAUGGGCUCUAAUAAUAAUCUAUGACAACAUGGGCCCAUUAAUUGUGGCAAAC